This 253-nucleotide unclassified non-coding RNA is filed under the name uncultured Tepidisphaerales bacterium. RNAcentral describes it as "contains 16S-23S intergenic spacer region". It matches the Rfam family "Bacterial small subunit ribosomal RNA", at positions 524 to 776 of the family's 1533-position model. Lineage: Bacteria; Pseudomonadati; Planctomycetota; Phycisphaerae; Tepidisphaerales. The record is from RNAcentral.
UACAGAGGCUCCAAGCGUUAGGCGGAAUCACUGGGCUUAAAGCGUGUGUAGGCGGCUUUCAAAGUGCUUUGUGAAAUCCCACGGCUCAACCGUGGAACUGCUGAGCAUACUGGAAAGCUUGGGUUAUCUAGGGGCGAGCGGAACGAAUGGUGGAGCGGUGAAAUGCGUAGAUAUCAUUCGGAACACCAAUGGCGUAAGCAGCUCGCUGGGGAUAUACCGACGCUGAGACACGAAAGCUAGGGUAGCGAACGGG